This 426-nucleotide ribosomal RNA is filed under the name uncultured prokaryote. Its description in RNAcentral is "bacterial SSU rRNA". It matches the Rfam family "Bacterial small subunit ribosomal RNA", at positions 355 to 796 of the family's 1533-position model. The record is from RNAcentral.
UGGGGAAUUUUCCGCAAUGGGGGCAACCCUGACGGAGCAACGCCGCGUGCGGGAGGAAGGCCUUUGGGUUGUAAACCGCUUUUCUCAGGGAAGAAGCUCUGACGGUACCUGAGGAAUCAGCCUUGGCUAACUCCGUGCCAGCAGCCGCGGUAAUACGGAGGAUGCAAGCGUUAUCCGGAAUUAUUGGGCGUAAAGCGUCCGCAGGUGGCCUGUCAAGUCUGCUGUCAAAGACUAGAGCUCAACUCUGGAAAGGCAGUGGAAACUGGUAGGCUAGAGUACGGUAGGGGUUGAGGGAAUUCCCAGUGUAGCGGUGAAAUGCGUAGAUAUUGGGAAGAACACCAGUGGCGAAGGCGCUCAACUGGGCCGUAACUGACACUCAGGGACGAAAGCUAGGGUAGCGAACAGGAUUAGAUACCCCCGUAGUCC